ACGUCUCAAUUAUAUAAAAUCAUAACAAGAAUUUAUCCUACAAAAGGUUCUAUCAAAACUCUAGAUAACAGAUUAGCUAUUCAUAAUACUCUAGUAUGUAAAACUACAAUACUAAAAGUCAUAACCAACAAUGAAAAAUAGGAAGAGGAAGGAAAAAACUUGUCGAAGAAUUCCCAAGCCUUGCUCCUAUUGUGUCUCUGCCUCCUUAGAUCAAAUCUAUGUAAAAAAUAUGUCCCCUCCUCUCAAAAUAGGUUUAGGACCCCUUUUAUACAAGUUGGAAUAGUUUAAGGCCGAAAUAAACUUGUCCCGGACGAAAUAGGACUCCUAUUUGACGCUUGGAGCGGCGCGAACGUGGCCAAAACGCGGCAGAACCGCGGCCAGAUCACCUCUCUGAUUUUCUGCCGCAGUUCUACCGCAGUCGCGGUGAAACAGCGGUGAUUCACCCAGUUCCCUUUAGAACUAGAAAAAACGCAAAAUAUAACAGUUGUAGCCAUGUGUGUUAGCUUUCCAACCAUAUAUUAUGGAGCCUAAAUGGAGUUCUGAGCAAAACGUUAUGACAAUUUUACUAGACAGUGCGCAAUGUGCCUCAUCGAGUCUUUGUUUGUUCUCAACUAUCAAAUUGACCCCCGAACACGUUCCCGGCUUAAUUCCUUGAGAUUUUACUCAAACUUCAAAGAUUCAAUUCACUUAAAUUCAUUCCAUAACAUCUAUAUAGCUCGGAAUCAUACCUACAAGGCAUAAAACACACAAUUAGUGCAAAACACUAGCGAAAAAAGCGCAAACUCAAUUAAAGUGGCCUAUCAUCACCAACCCAUCUCAACUCAUUUAAAAUUGGGCUAUUUUUUAGCCCAAAUUGAUCUAUGAGUAAGUUUGUCAAAAUAUCUUAGAAAUAAUUUUAUUUUUUGUUUAAAAACCUUAAUUAGUAAUUAUACAAGUUAUAAGAAAAUAAAACAUAUUAAUUAAAGUUUAAUAAGAGUUUGGGUGGUUGGAUUAUGACCCAAAUCUUAACCCAUCUUAACCCAAGUAACUUUUGAGCGGGUCAUUUAUUUAGUAACUAUACAAUUUAUAAGAAAACAACACAUAUUAAUUAAAGUUUAAUAAGGGUUGGGCGGGUUGGGUCAUGAUCCGAAUUUUAACCCUUCUUAGCCCAAGUAACUUUUGGGUGGUUCGUUAUUGACUCAACCCAUUUUAACCCGCCCAAAAUUGACCCAACCUGCCCAUUUGACACCCUUAGAUAUACCACAUUUGGAGAGCUAGGAAUUUUAAAAAAUUUCGAAGGCAAAAAUGUACAUAGAACAGAGAUUGUAACACUUAUAAAGACGGAAGUAACAGAGAGGAUACAUCAUAUGAGGAUGCCAAAGAAACCACAUAGGUGUAGGAGUUUUGUCCAGCGGCUACUUUGUAAUUAGAAAUUGUUGGUUUGGGGGCCUAUGAUCUGUGAUCGGAUAAACGUUGCCUUAUAAGUGUAAUUGUGUUGAUGUUAAUGGUAAUAUUUUACAUUAUUACCAAAAAAAAAAACCUUUAUCAAAAAUAUAACUUAUAUAUAUAUCGGCUAGAAAAAAAAAAUUGAGACAGCUAUUAAUAUUAAGAAGAAGAAAAUAGCAAAAACAAACCCAAAGCGAGCCCCUUUUGAGUAUACAAUGACAAGUAGAUCAGGUUAGCAAGGUUCAGCUAAACCAGCUCGGUAAGAAAGUGGAUCGAACCGGCCUGGUACAAGACUAAGGGAUCAGUGCCGAGUUGGGCUUAUGAAUCGUCCAGAGUGUGUUCUUCAAUACUCAAAACAUGUAGUCUAAAGUUUAAGAUCAUGCAGUCUAAAUUAUUUGUUAUACCAUCCACAUGUGGAAUUGGAUACAAACAUUUUCAGUAUGCCUAAGAUAAAUCCGGGUUAAUUUCCCUUGGGAAGACCUCCCUUUUGGGUUGAUGUGGUCUACUGCCAUCACCCAACCCAAUGUUUUCUUCUAGUCCCUUUUACAAGAAGAAAAACUUCUUGGUCCAUGAGUUUCAUCCAACAAGAUAACUCUCUUUUGUUUGAGUUCCUCUAGCGACAUCAGACAUCAGAUAAGACAGGUCGAAAUUUUAAAAACACAAAUACUCGAAAUGAUAAGAGACACAGUUCAGGGGACGAACCUUAAAAAGUUCAGCACUUGUGGUGUAUUCAGAGCUGCAUAAUUUGAUACCAUAACUGAUUUUUAAAACAUCCUUCUCUAAGGUUUGAACACUGCCGAGAAAACAUGCUGUUGAGCCACUGCGGGCAAUGCCCAUUACAAGCAACUAUCUGGACUAUAGGAGAAAAAUUAAACCGCUGGCGAUUACCACAUUAAGGAAACUGGUGUUAUUCCAUCUUUAAAGGUUUUUCCAAGAACAGAAAAAUCUAAUGAGAGCUUGACCUUCUUGGCUCUGCAUUUCGCGGCUGCACUAUAACCUUCGAAAUUAGCUCGUUCACACGGGGAAACAUUCAAAGAGAACAUGAUAACCUUCACGACAAACGAAAAGGAAGUUACACUGCAGUGGGAGAUUCUUGAUUAAAUAAGUCAAUUUUAGUUAUUCAAAGAUAAUUAAGAGAAAAUUUGAUCUAGAGCAAAUUUAGUAGUGGUGAAAUGAAUUAGUACAGCAUUGGAGUGCAUAAAUCGACUCCUUACUCUUAACUACAGCUGCACAACAGUUAAAAGUUUGAGCCACAGAUGAGAACAACAUUUGAUUUAAAGCAAGUCAAGGAAGUAUCCUUAAAGAAAAGAAGAUUGGACAAUCAUCAGCAUGAGAAGAGUAAAACUGUCAUGAUUGAAGCAUCAAACACAGUAUGCAUUUAAGCUUCAACCCAUAAUAGUAGGCAAGGAACAGAAAGUAGAUUCUUAUAUCAGCGCAGAAACAAACAAUUCAAAAUUUAAGUAGAAGACAUCCGGUGUACUGAUGACUAAUGCUACACAGAUCAAUGGCUUAAGGUGCCAUAGAGAGUUCCAGGGGUUACUAACUCUGGAUAUAAUAGGACAGUGUGACUAGUUUAAGGUUUUGUAGAUCUACCAAUUAUAUGGAGCAUCUGUCUAUGUUUAGGAAGUGAUUGACAUGCUUCAACACCCAAAGCAUCCUUAAAUCCAUUAUUUGGAGAACAUUUCAAUUGUCUAAUGAAUAUUAACUAAUACAUGAAAUUCAAAUAAAAAGGAUGAUAUUCACUAAAAACAGAGAAAAGAGUGAAUAAGUAAAUUUUGAGAAAAUCACUCAAGCAGUUCAUAUGGCUUAUCCAAAAAGAUGGCAAGCUCACACAAACUAAUGGCCACGGUAAAUGUACGUAUGUAUGUAUAUCGGUCCACAUAUGUAUUAGUUUAACUAAGUGCAGCGAAAUUCUCAAGCAUAACAAGAAAAAAAGCAAUAAGCUAAACUAAAAAGUACCCAAUUUCAACUUCAGCAGCUAUCCCCUAGCAACUGCAUUUGGGCGGCAUAAGACUAAGCAAAGCUGCCGAUAAAACAUAUAAGCCCAAUACUCAAUAGUGAGGUAUUGAAGUGUUUAGUGAGGAAACUUCAGAUUUCCACAGUUUGUCAACUCACUUUCCUAUAUCAAGACAUCCGAAAAUGAAAACCAUACAGAUCGGCCAAAAUGCUAAAACAAAUAUGCUACUAUGAAAAACUUGAUAAGGAGACCAUCCAAGAGAUAAUACUUUAUCAAUAAACACAGAAGUUGAAACCCCUAAAAUAUAACCAAGAUCCAAUCUUUUCCUUCCCCCUACCAUGUGCCCAAAGCCACUACAAGCAGAGUUCCUAAAGGAGAUGGCCAUGCAAAAUUCUCAAAUAAAACCAGAUCUACAACUCAAUCUCAGCUGAGCAUACUCUAUUUUCAGCAAAUAUUCACUGCCCUAAAUUCAGUCGUGCAGAACACGUAUAAACCAAUCACCAAUAAUCACAAUUAAAAUCUCCAUAACAGCAGACAAAUAAAAUUUCAACAAGAUUGAGAGCUCAGAUGUCAUACCAAAAAACCAAUAGUGCAACUUAUUUAGCAAAUGGAGAAAAGGGAAAGAGAGAAAUGAUGGGAAGCCACAGGAAUGGGUGGCAUAGGAAAGAUUGCAAUUUAUAUUAUGAAAACAUAAAUAUAU
Molecule: long non-coding RNA, 4082 nt
Filed under: Nicotiana benthamiana
Lineage: Eukaryota; Viridiplantae; Streptophyta; Magnoliopsida; Solanales; Solanaceae
Description: long non-coding RNA (NBEN_LNC009636)
Source: RNAcentral